Molecule: ribosomal RNA, 1490 nt
Filed under: uncultured rumen bacterium
Lineage: Bacteria
Description: bacterial SSU rRNA
Rfam family: Bacterial small subunit ribosomal RNA
Source: RNAcentral
AGAGUUUGAUCCUGGCUCAGGAUGAACGCUGGCGGCGUGCUUAACACAUGCAAGUUGCGCGGGGAUUUGAUGAUGAGACUUCGGUGGAUUUGUUAGAUCCUAGCGGCGGACGGGUGAGUAAAGCACAAGGACGUGUCCGAGCGAGGGGGACAACUGCGGGAAACCGUAGCUAAUACCCCGUAAGCCGAGAGGUAAAAGCAGCAAUGCGCGAGCGGAGCGACUUGUGUCCUAUCAGGUAGUUGGUGAGGCAACGGCUCACCAAGCCGAAGACGGGUAGCCGGACUGAGAGGUUGUACGGCCACAUUGGAACUGAGAAACGGUCCAGACUCCUACGGGAGGCAGCAGUGGGGAAUAUUGGGCAAUGGGGGCAACCCUGACCCACCCACGCCGCGUGAGGGAAGACAGCCUUCGGGUUGUAAACCUCUGUUGCAGGGGAAGAAGGACGUGACGGUACCCUGCGAGGAAGCUCCGGCUAACUACGUGCCAGCAGCCGCGGUAAUACGUAGGGAGCGAGCGUUGUCCGGAAUUACUGGGCGUAAAGGGCGCGAAGGCGGUUUUACAAGUCAACUGUCAAAUCGCGGGGCUUAACCCCGCUUCGCAGUUGAAACUGUAAGACUGGAGGCACAGAGAGGCAGACAGAAUUCCUGGUGUAGCGGUGAAAUGCGUAGAUAUCAGGAAGAAUACCAGUGGCGAAGGCGGUCUGCUGGCUGUGGACUGACGCUCAAGCGCGAAAGCCAGRRGAGCAAACGAGGAUUAGAUACCCCGGUAGUCCUGGCAGUAAACGAUGUAUGCUGGGUGUGAGAGUAGCGAUACUUUCGUGCCGAAGUUAACGCGAUAAGCAUACCGCCUGGGGAGUACGGUCGCAAGAUUGAAACUCAAAGGAAUUGACGGGGGCCCGCACAAGCGGUGGAGCACGUGGUUUAAUUCGAUGCAAACCGAAGAACCUUACCUAGGCUUGACAUGUAGGUAGUAGAGAAUGGAAACAGGAUCGACGUGAUAGCAAUAUCACGAGCCUACACAGGUGCUGCAUGGCUGUCGUCAGCUCGUGUCGUGAGAUGUUGGGUUAAGUCCCGCAACGAGCGCAGCGCCUAUUGCCCGCCGCUAACACAUAAAGGUGAGCACUCAGGCGAGACUGCCAUCGACAAGAUGGAGGAAGGUGGGGACGACGUCAAGUCAUCAUGGCCCCUAUGCCUAGGGCGACACACAUGCUACAAUGGCUGGUACAAAGGGCAGCGAGACCGAAAGGUAGAGCGAAUCCCAUAAAGCCAGUCCCAGUUCGGAUUGCAGUCUGCAACUCGACUGCAUGAAGUUGGAAUCGCUAGUAAUCGCGGAUCAGCCAAGCCGCGGUGAAUACGUUCCCGGGCCUUGUACACACCGCCCGUCACACCAUCCGAGUCGGGUGCUCUCAAAGCCGGUGUUCUAACCGUAAGGAAGAAGCCGUCUAAAGAGUGUCCGGUGAGGAGGGUGAAGUCGUAACAGAGGUAGCCGUA